UUUCUUUCUUUUGCUGGCUCCUUGCGGCGUUUUAUCCCGACCAAUCUGCCGCCCCAUCGGCGGAUCGCUCACCUCUCGCCUCACAGGGGUAAAGCUCAUCCCCACCGGCCACCCCCUACCUCGCGGUUUCUCACUCACACGCAUUCUGACCUGCGCUCACGGGGAUUUUCUCCCGGCGACUGCGGCGGCCAUUUUGGAUCUCAUCUCGCGAGAUCUGCGGCCGCCAUUUUAAAUACUCCCCGAGCUCCGUUCAGACGGCGCUCGGCGUCUACAUCUACCCGGUCUUCCUCACAGCUUCCCAGACAGCUCCUCCACAAGUGUGUAUAAGGCAGGGGUCACCAGGUCAGUAAGAUUAAAGUCUGUAUUUUAAAGCACUAUAGGGUUUAAUACCCUGGCAUUUGGGGUGAGACCCCUAAUAUUUG
This is a non-coding RNA of Pelobates cultripes (western spadefoot toad), 422 nucleotides long. The record is from the annotation of a GenBank genome assembly. NCBI's taxonomy places the organism in Eukaryota, Metazoa, Chordata, Amphibia, Anura, Pelobatidae.